Molecule: RNA transcript, 8708 nt
Organism: Chinchilla lanigera (long-tailed chinchilla)
Lineage: Eukaryota; Metazoa; Chordata; Mammalia; Rodentia; Chinchillidae
Gene: Tnr
Gene name: tenascin R
Exons: 26
Source: RefSeq, a predicted model, not a curated record
AGCUCCAGACUUCCCAUCUCGCUCACGUCAGAGGCAGGAACCGACUGUGCUAAAGCUGUUGGCUCAACACGCAGAGACAGACAGGAGCAGACCUAGAGAGAGGGAGCGAGGAAGGUGGUCUUUCCUGACCCAAGGAAUUACCACUAGUGGAGUAAAGCCACCUGACUUUCUGAUCUUAUUUUGGUUCUCUUCUUUCUCCUUCCACUCGCAGCCCUGCUGUGAAGCCUCCUCUCAGAAAAGAGGAAGGGAAAAGGGAGAGUGGUGGGCUCUUAGGUGAGAGCAUCAGCUGGCUCCAGCCCUAAGAGACAAGAAUUCUCUUCGCAGGAAGCUUCUCUCCCUCCUGGCUGCCCACCCCCAGCCCGGAUAUCCAUACCAUCCUAACUGUACAGAGAACAGAUAUCUUUCCGAGUGAGGGACAAAGAACGUGUGGUCAAGAGAAAACAUCGCAAAUACCAUCACAAAAGGCUCCUUCCACUCCAUGCUGCGCACUGCAGGCUGCCCCUGAACUGACCCCAGGCAGACAGGAGAGGAUGGGCACAGACGGGGACACAGUGGUCCUGAAGAACAUGCUCCUUGGUGUCAACUUGAUCCUGCUGGGCUCCAUGCUCAAGCCUUCAGAGUGUCAGCUGGAGGUGACCACAGAAAGGGUCCAGAGACAGGCGGUGGAGGAGGAAGGAGGUGUUGGCAACUACAACACAUCCAGGAAAGAGCAACCUGUGGUCUUCAACCACGUGUACAACAUUAAUGUGCCCCUGGACAGCCUCUGCUCCUCGGGGCUGGAGGCCUCGGCUGAGCAGGAGGUGAGUGCGGAAGACGAGGCUCUAGCAGAGUACACGGGCCAGACCUCAGACCACGAGAGCCAGGUCACCUUCACCCACAAGAUCAACCUCCCCAAAAAGGCCUGCCCGUGUGCUGGCUCAGGCCACAUGUUACGCGAGCUGCUGAGCCGGAUCGAGAUGCUGGAGAGGGAGGUGUCGGUGCUGCGGGACCAGUGCACCGCCAACUGCUGCCAGGAAAGCGCCGCUACAGGACAAUUGGACUAUAUCCCUCACUGCAGCGGCCAUGGCAACUUCAGCCUCGAGUCCUGUGGCUGCAUCUGCAAUGAAGGCUGGUUUGGCAAGAACUGCUCAGAACCCUACUGCCCGCUGGGCUGCUCCAGCCGAGGCGUGUGUGUGGAUGGUCAGUGCAUCUGCGACAGUGAAUACAGCGGGGACGACUGCUCCGAGCUCCGGUGCCCGACAGACUGCAGCUCCCGGGGGCUCUGCGUGGAUGGGGAGUGUGUCUGUGAAGAACCCUACACGGGCGAGGACUGCGGGGAGCUGAGGUGCCCCGGGGACUGCUCAGGGAAGGGGAGCUGUAUCAAUGGCACCUGUUUAUGUCAGGAAGGCUACAUCGGUGAGGACUGCGGACAGCGGCAGUGCCUGAAUGCCUGCAGCGGGCGAGGACUGUGCCAGGAGGGGCUCUGUGUCUGCGAAGAGGGCUACCAGGGCCCUGAUUGCUCGGCAGUUGCCCCUCCAGAGGACUUGCGAGUGGCUGGUAUCAGCGACAGGUCCAUUGAGCUGGAAUGGGACGGGCCGAUGGCAGUGACGGAAUAUGUGAUCUCUUACCAGCCGACGGCCCUGGGGGGCCUCCAGCUCCAGCAGCGGGUGCCUGGAGAUUGGAGUGGUGUCACCAUCACGGAGCUGGAGCCAGGUCUCACCUACAACAUCAGCGUCUACGCUGUCAUUAGCAACAUCCUCAGCCUUCCCAUCACUGCCAAGGUGGCCACCCAUCUCUCCACUCCUCAAGGGCUGCAAUUCAAGACCAUCACAGAAACCACCGUGGAGGUGCAGUGGGAGCCCUUCUCCUUCUCCUUCGAUGGGUGGGAGAUCAGCUUCAUUCCAAAGAACAAUGAAGGAGGAGUGAUUGCUCAGCUCCCCAGCGAUGUCACCUCCUUUAACCAGACAGGACUAAAGCCCGGGGAGGAGUACAUUGUCAAUGUGGUGGCUCUGAAAGGGCAAGCACGGAGCCCCCCGACCUCGGCCAGCGUGUCCACAGUCAUUGAUGGGCCCACACAGAUCCUGGUGCGAGAUGUCUCUGACACUGUGGCCUUUGUGGAGUGGACCCCUCCUCGUGCCAAAGUUGAUUUCAUCCUCCUGAAAUAUGGCCUGGUGGGUGGGGAAGGCGGGAAAACCACCUUCCGGCUGCAGCCUCCCCUGAGCCAAUACUCAGUGCAAGCCCUGCGGCCUGGCUCCCACUAUGAGGUGUCUGUCAGUGCAGUCCGAGGGACCAACGAGAGCGAGUCUACGACUACCCAGUUUGCCACAGAGAUCGAUGCUCCCAAGAACCUGCGAGUUGGUUCCCGCACAGCAAACAGCCUUGACCUUGAGUGGGAUAACAGUGAGGCAGAAGUUCAGGAGUACAAGGUUGUGUACAGCACGCUGGCAGGGGAGCAAUACCAUGAGAUGCUGGUCCCCAAGGGCAUAGGUCCCACCACCAGGGCCACCCUCACAGAUCUGGUACCUGGCACUGAGUAUGGAGUUGGAAUAUCUGCCAUUAUGAACUCACAGCAAAGCGUGCCAGCCACCAUGAAUGCCAGGACUGAACUUGACAGUCCCCGAGACCUCAUGGUGACAGCCUCCUCAGAGACCUCCAUUUCCCUCAUCUGGACCAAGGCCAGUGGUCCCAUUGACCACUACAGGAUUACCUUUACACCAUCCUCUGGAAUUGCCUCAGAAGUCACUGUGCCCAAGGACAGGACCUCGUAUACAUUGACAGAUCUGGAGCCUGGGGCAGAGUACAUCAUCUCCAUUACUGCUGAGAGAGGUCGGCAGCAGAGCUUGGAGUCCACUGUGGAUGCCUUCACAGGUUUCCGCCCUAUCUCCCAUUUGCACUUUUCUCAUGUGACAUCCUCUAGUGUCAACAUUACGUGGAGUGACCCAUCUCCCCCAGCAGAUAGACUCAUUCUGAACUACAGUCCUCAAGAUGAAGAGAAAGAAAUGAUGGAGGUCUCCUUGGAUGCCACCAAGAGGCAUUUUGUCCUGAUGGGUUUACAACCAGCCACUGAGUAUAUUGUCAACCUGGUGGCUGUCCAUGGCACGGUGACUUCUGAGCCCAUCAUGGGCUCGAUCACCACAGGAAUUGAUCCCCCCAAAGACAUCACGAUUAGCAAUGUUACCAAGGACUCAGUGAUGGUCUCCUGGAGCCCUCCCGUUGCAUCUUUUGAUUACUACCGAGUAUCGUAUCGACCCACCCAAGUGGGACGGCUGGACAGCUCAGUGGUACCAAACACCGUGACAGAAUUCACCAUCACCAGGCUGUACCCAGCUACUGAGUAUGAAAUCAGCCUCAACAGUGUUCGGGGCAGGGAGGAGAGUGAGCGCAUCUGUACCCUCGUGCACACAGCCAUGGAUAACCCUGUGGAUCUGAUUGCUACCAACAUCACCCCAACAGAAGCCCUACUGCAGUGGAAGGCACCUGUGGGUGAAGUGGAGAACUAUGUCAUUAUCCUCACACACUUCACAGUUGCUGGAGAAACCAUCCUGGUUGAUGGGCUCAGUGAGGAAUUCCAACUUGUGGACCUGCUUCCCAGUACCCACUAUACUGUCACCAUGUACGCCGCCAGUGGACCUCUGACCAGUGGCACCAUCAGCACCAACUUCUCUACCCUCCUGGAUCCUCCAGCAAACCUGACUGCCAGUGAAGUCACCAGACAGAGUGCACUGAUCUCUUGGCAGCCUCCCAGGGCAGAGAUUGAGAAUUACAUUCUGACCUAUAAAUCUAUGGAUGGAAGCCGCAAAGAGCUGAUUGUGGAUGCAGAGGACACGUGGAUCCGAUUGGAAGGCCUACUGGAAAACACGGACUACACAGUGCUCCUGCAGGCAGCUCAGGAUGCCAUGCGGAGCAGCCUCACCUCCACUGCCUUUACCACAGAGGGCCGGGUGUUCUCUCAUCCUCAAGACUGUGCCCAGCAUUUGAUGAACGGAGACACUCUGAGUGGGGUUUACACCAUCUUUCUGAACGGGGAGCUCAGCCAGAAGUUGCAAGUAUACUGUGACAUGACCACGGAUGGGGGCGGCUGGAUUGUAUUCCAGAGGCGUCAGAAUGGCCAAACUGAUUUCUUCCGGAAAUGGGCUGAUUACCGCAUUGGCUUCGGAAACCUGGAGGAUGAGUUUUGGUUAGGGCUGGACAACAUCCACAGGAUCACAGCCCAGGGCCGUUAUGAGCUGCGCGUGGACAUGCGGGAUGGGCAGGAGGCCGCCUAUGCCCAUUACGACAAGUUCUCUGUGGAAGACAGCAGGAGCCUGUACAAACUCCGCAUAGGAAGCUACAACGGCACUGCAGGAGACUCCCUCAGCUAUCACCAGGGACGGCCUUUCUCCACGGAGGACAGGGACAAUGAUAUUGCUGUUACUAACUGUGCCAUGUCAUACAAGGGCGCUUGGUGGUAUAAGAACUGCCACCGGACCAACCUCAAUGGGAAGUACGGGGAAUCCAGGCACAGCCAGGGGAUCAACUGGUACCACUGGAAAGGCCACGAGUUCUCCAUCCCCUUUGUGGAAAUGAAGAUGCGACCCUAUAACCACCGCCUCUCGUCAGGAAGGAAACGGCGGGCCUUGCAGUUCUGAGCAGCGGGCAGUCGCAAGCCAAACGAUUUUUCUGUCCUUUGUUUGUAUUUUAUAAUAUUAUACAAGGGGGGAGGGUGAUAGCAAUGUGCUUUGCAACACGUGAAGGGUAUCUGAAGGAAGCAGGGCUGUAGCAGCGGUCAGCUGAUUACUGUCCGCUGUAGCUUCCGCUGCUGGGAUCCUGGCCCCAACACUGCACUCUCCCUCCUAGCCUGUCAUCCCUAACAUUCCCCUCCUUUCCCGCCAAGGAGGAAAAAUGGGACAUUCGCUUAAAUAACUGAUUCAAAGACAAGUCAUGGAGUACAAUUGUUAGGGUGAUAGGUGCACACCUUCUCUUUUCUACCCUCUCGAGAUGCCUCUGCCUUCCAGGUGUCGCUAAUCUGGUCAUAGCCCUUGAUGAUCAGGUAGUCACACAAGCUCAGAGAACAAGUCUUAGCAAAAGAAUCCAGCUAACAACACCCCAGAGAGGGAAAAAAUCGACCACACCCUGUCGCAAUGGCCCACGUCCUUUGGACUGGGCCAAAGUUCUCGUUUCUGACAUUCGUACCUUCCCAGAGCAGUGGCCUUUUUUCCAGCCAUGCUCUAACCUUUGUCUAAUUUCAUUGUACCUUAGAGCCUACAAUCUCAUCGCCCCUAUGCUGUUCUGAAAUCUAGUUCCCAGGAUGUUGCCUGCUGCCAGACCUGGGUUAUACAGGGGUUUCUUCGUCCUUGUGGGUCUCAAGCCGCUUCCCCUCCCUCAGGGCAGUCAGACAGUAACUUUCUUGGGGGUGGGAGAGGAAGAUGUCGGUAGCACUCAGGGUCAAGCUCUGAGGGAAAGACAGAAGCAGCGGAAAUAAGGGCACCUGCCACAGAGAUUACAAGUCCCAUGGAAAACAGAGAUCUUGCCUGGUUCCAUUUUUACCAUUACUGUUCUGCUUUGUCAUGGGUUAUUUUCCUGAACUUGCAAACUAAAGGCCUUAUUUCUGUCAUCAGCCAGACUCUUCUUGGUGUAUGUGGCGUAAUAAGAGUCAGAAGAAGAAGUUAUAUGACCAGCAAUCCAUUUUCUUAUUAAUAGUCCUGGGCAGAGAUGGAAUAUUUGCUUUGGGGUUUUUUAAAAAAAAAUUUGGUCCUGUGGGAAACAGAAAUGACCCUUUAAUGAGGUGAGAUCAUGAGAAGCCUUUCUCCAUCUUCUUUUAUUAUUCUGCUUUCGAAAGGGAAAAUGAAAAGUGCUGGAGGAAAUUACAUCUAGAAACCCAAAGGUGAAAGGGGGAGGCCUGUGGGUCUGUCCCCCGUGUUAUGAGAUGUGCUGUCUCCACCGGCGCAUGAUUGGAUUUUUAAGCCCGUGACCUUUCAACUUCUCCUCCAAAUCAAAUGCCAGCUGCAACCAUCCUGCAGGAACUGUCCGGAUUCAAGCCCAGGGCCCGCACCUACCGCUUCCCUUUCUUCUCCCACUCCCCAGGACUCCUGUUCUAUUUCCUGUAGGGACCGUGUUUGCCAAACUGGGGCACCUGUGCCUUUGCCAACCAGUGACUAGACAAGCCUGAGAUUGGUGAUUUCCUCAUAGAAACAUCCACCCUCUGAACAAGCUUUAACACCAAGAAGGGAUAGCCCCUUAGACUGUCAAUUGUGCUUUUGGGGGUGUGAGGAUACAAUCAGCCUGCCAUGUUCUUAGGGACCCUCUCUUUAGUAGUUUCCAGAAAGACUUCAUCUACCACAUGCCUGGAUCGAAAGGAGUAGGCGGCCCUUUUAUUUUUCAGUUCACAGUAGUCUUCAAAACAACUAGAAAAAAGAAGAAGAAAGAGAAGCCUGUAGAUUAAAUAAGGUUUAGCUAGAGACUGGGACAAGCGUGAAAAGAAGGAAGCGUACUGAAUGAGGAACUCCACUGUUAUGCAGCUGUGUGACUUUGGGCGGUCAUUUCUCCUCUCUUGGCCUCAGUAUCCUUGCCUUUUGGGUGAGAGAUUAGACCAAAAUAAUUCUAAUUUCUCCUUCAGUUUUAACAUCAGUAAUGCUGGUCCAUGAAAUGAAAAUCUGAAUAGAAAUGUGCAUUCAUGAGAGAACUCAAUUAGGUCAUAUGUGGAAAGAACAGAAGGAAAGAAGGAGGGAAAGUGAAAUUGAUUCAAAAGUCAGAAGUAACACACACACACACACACACACACACACACACACCAGAAAAGACAAUGCCAAGUAAGAGGCUGAACCGUGCCAGGGACCUGAGUGUGCUAGGACAGCCCGCCUCAUCAACAGAACUGAAACAGAACACAAUUGGAUGCCAUCAGUUCAGGUGAAAGUCAAGAAACAUCAGUGGAAACCAAAGCCUGCCUUUCCCUGGAACCAUUUUACCCCGUGGAGCAUUUUUAUAAAUAGUAUCAGCAACAUUCGCUAGUUGCAUUUUAGAGCAUUUUAAAGCAAGAAAGGAACUUCAAAGAUCAGCUCACCCAACACUCUAUAAAAAGAUUGUAGCUUCUUUUUGUUAGGUGAAGUACUUUUCUCCUGAGGUGUUUUUUGUUGUUUUUGUUGCUGUUGUUUUUUCCUUUUUUAAGCUAUUUUUAGGAGACUGGUCUUCUGUCUUGCCAAGACCCAUGGUCAAGUUGACUCAAAGCGUCUUAACCAGAGGCACUCACUUCUACACUGAGCUUCUUAGAUGAUGCUCCCUUACUCUGUCCCUGCAAGCACCUGUGCUUUCCCAGGGGAGGAUGUCAGAGAGAUGCAAGGACACCAAAGGGGCCCAUAGCGACUGGGAAGGAAAAGCAGCGGAGCCUGCCAUAAAGGCAGUCUGAUGAAGACAUAUUGGAAUGUAUACUUAUACCAACAAAACAACAGUACCCAAAAGAUCAAAACCAACUUCCAGUGAGUAGACUCACUGCCAGGCCCAAGCAGUUUAUCCUUUUUGUGUUGCCUAUCACAUGAGGAUUGUUUCCAAUGUAUCCAAUUCAUAUUCUCCAUGGUUGCUUCUGGAGAAAGGAGUCAGUUGUAAAGGUGGGGAAUCAGGAAGGACAAUGUUUAGGGGAGUGGUGGCCCUUAGGACAGAUUUAAUAAAUGCAGAGGGGACUUACUAAAAGCGACCACAAGGUGGCGCACACAACGCCUCCAGAGACCCAGGGGAAACAACAGCUGGCCUCUCCUGGUUUCUAGGAGACCUUGUUGCAAACAAAGAAUCAGGACUGAUCUGUAUGGGAGAUAAAGCUGUAAAAUGGACAGAUGUAAAAGAACAGCAAAGAGAUGAAGAGUAAACUUCCAUGAAGCUUUAAAUGAACAGUACAGACACCUACCACCAACCCAACUCCACUACUCAUGAAGUGAUGACCGUCAGACACCUUGCUCCUUCUCCAUGGGAACCGCCUAGCUCCCUGUGCACUACAAACUGCUGUUUCAAAGUCAAGCUCAAAGGACCACGGUUACCGGCGCUGUUCUGAUAAAAUUGAUUCCUGUUCUCAUGGAGUUUUCAUUCUGAUGAAAUGACAGCUGACAAAUAACAGUUAAUAAAAGGUUCUUUGUUCUCCUUCUGCUUCCCGAACACUAGCAGGAAGGCUUUCCAAUGGAGGACCUCUGGAAGCCCUACUUCUAGAUGAAGGAAGUGUGAAGCUCACUCUGGAAUAUAAAGUGCAUCCUGGAAUUGCGAUGUUGGGUGGGGCCUCCAGUAGUGAUUUCUACCUCCUUGGAAUCCAUGGACGGGAAGAGAAGAGGCCCUGGAGUGUUCCAGCCAGUAGGCAAGAGGUGCCAGGAGCACAGGGUACUUCCUCCUCCAGGAGGAACAUGGUGGGUCACUGGACAGAGCGCACCUCCACCCUAACAGCAGUGGGGGAACAAUCUUCUCUUGGAGCAGCGCACUCUGUGUGCAUAUUGGUACACAGGACAGUAUUCAGAAGCAUGAAUUGUAAAGCCUGUGACUAGGUUUUGUAGCCUCUAUGACUUGAGCUGUCUAAACUUCAUCUUUCUCAUCCAUAAAAUCACAUGAAUAGAAUCUAAUCAUAAGGAUCAUUGUGUGAUUAGAUAAGACAGUGUAAAGCAAGAAGGUAUAGUAUCUGGCACACAGCACUGUGCUGAUAUUUACUGGAGUCUGAGAUGGAAGAAAUCUGUAAUAAUGAUCCAAUAUUUCCUUAAAUAAAAUAAGUUUGUUAACUAUGA